GGAUUUUUAAAUUGACUUGGCAGAAGGGGUAGAUUUCAGAUUAAAUUCCAUUUGAGCAAAUAAAAAAGCAUUUAUUCACUUCAGCAUUUUCCUUUUUUUUCAUAAGUGGAAAUUCUGUUAGUUCAACUCAUUGCAUUGUAUUAUUCUUGAAAUGUGCCAUAAUCCUUUCAUAUUUCAGUAUUGUUAUGGCUGAAUUCAUUUAUCAUCACAGUAAGUGACCCAGAAUUUGAGAGUACCUUCCCUUAGCCUCAGAUAUAUGAUACUUUGAAAAGAAGCUGUUGCUGAAAAUAAAGGACUAUACUGAAAUGUAACAGUGAAUGGAAGGUCAAUUCAAAUUUAUUAUCAGACAAAGCUUCUAAAUGGAGUGUUUUUUGGAACGGUCUUCUAAAACUAAGAUUGGCUAUUUAAAAAUAGCCUGAAUGAAACAUUAGUAAAUAUCCUGUAAGACAUGUCCUGUUUUUUUUUUGAGAAAUGUGCUGACAUGAUUCUUCUUUUGCAGAUAUGAGAACUAGGCUUGUUUUUUGAGUUGGAAAAAGGAGGGGAAUUGUAUUUUUAUUACAAUUUUUGUUAAUCAUGAACUUCUAAUCAUGGUAGACUUAAACGAUUGUUUAAAAGAUUAGGAAGCCUCAAAUAUUACUAGAUGAGGAUUUUUUAUAGUCUCCUUCAUUCCAUUAUGAAAGGAAUGCUUACAGUUGUAGAGAAUUUUUAUACAGUUCUAUCUAUAAAUUCUUUUAGUACUCUUAUCUGUCAAAACUACUCUGUUGUCUUCAGUUAGGCAACUGAUUUUCCUAAUGCUCUGCUUUCGGCUCUUUUUCAACCAUAUGUGGGUUGUACUACACAAAUGAAGAUGGUGUUACUAACUUGGCUCUCCAGAAUGUUCAAUUUCAGUUGUCAUCUUUUCUUCCUUUUAUUUUCAGUAAUAAGGUAUAUGAAUCAAACAUGUAGUAACAUUUAAGUGAGUUACUAGUAUAGGUUAGUGGACAGUACACUGCAUUUGAAAGCAAAAGACCUGAAGUUUAAUACUAAUUUUAUUAUGUAUAGCUAGUGGUUUUCAGUGGAACAGCAAACCUCUGAAAUGCUUUGUUUAAAAAGGGGGUCUAGAGUUUAAAAAUUUGUGAUGAAAUGAGCAUCUCAAGAAAUGUCUUUGUCCCAGAGAUAUACAAUGCACAUUAGCAUGUUAAAGCCUCUGAGACAUCCUAUCAUAAAACUAUCCAAUGAAUUUGGUUUUACCAAGUAUUUUCCAUACCUCCUUUGACCACAGAAUCUAUUUUGACUAUAAUAUUGCCUGGAAUUAGUAAUCCAUAACAAGCCAUUUGAAAAAAAUACUGCUAUAAUUGGAAUCACUGCUAUUUCCCUUAAAUCCAGAUUUUUCUAAGCUUUCUAAGCUAUGUGAACUUCUAGAACCAUGUACUUGCUCUGAGCCAAAAGCCAAGAAAUUAUAUUUCCAUUUAAAUGUUUAGACAUUUGUCUGCAUGUCUAAGGAUCCACAAUUUUGGUCAAGAAUGGUCUGCAAUGGUUUGUAGUUUUAAUUAAAUCCAAUGUCUUCAAACUUGGCUCAUUGCUUUUCUUUUCAAAUUUUACUCAUUAAUUACUUUUAUUUUUUCAGGGGAACACUAUUUAAUCUCUUGGUAAUUCUAAUUAGCGAGCCUCAGAUCCCAAAAUCCUGUCCUGUGUUUGAUAUCCAGUUGGUGGCUGAUUCAACUUUAGUUGAGAAGUCUUUUGAUGCUGAGGGAAAUCUUGGGCUGGGAACAACAAAGCUUGCUAUUAGCUGGAUGAUGUCCUUUCUACAAAGUUGUCCUCCCAUAGUAAGUACCGAGAAACUAAAAGAAAACCACUACUCGAGGCAAUUAAACAAAUGCUCUUGAAUAAGACACAGAUUUUCUCUAAGUGCUCUUACCGAAAACCCAGCUAACGGUGACAUCAACAUCACCGAUGCCUUGUAGGAACAUCCUUGAAAGUCACAGGCACUUUAUCCCUGUGGGCCAUUUGUUCUUAACAGUAAAAUAGAAGAGAAACCAUCUUCCCCACUGGAUGAGGCCCUUUCCGAGCUCCCCUUCUACCCCUACUCCUGCUUCCAAUGUUCUCUUUCCACUUUGGAGCCUAGAUUUCCUUGACAGUCCAUUUAGUUCUGAUCCUGCUUGUAGGGUACAACUGGUAAACCCAGCUGGGCUAUGGUCUAGUGCGGUCUGAAUACCACUGCGACGAGAAACAGUGCAAGGCCACUGGUGUAAAGGGUGCUGAGGACUUCCACCUGCACUUACAGUUGAAGCUCUAACUGAAACAGGUGCUCUUAUGGGUGGCAUGAAGCCUGCAUGUAACUGCAUUUUCCUUGUCUAGAUUACUUUUGUGGCCACUGUUGUGAAACAAAUGGUGAAGGGGCUUUCAGCUUCAUUUCGGCUGCUAAGUCCCAGCCAAGCAGUUCUAUUGUACCAGCAGUUUUAUAUCCUGAAGAGCUGCCUACAGUACAGCAAGACCUUAGCUGAGCAUAUUAGGAAUGACUACAGAGAAGAAUUCAGGUACUUUAUUCACAUGCCAGCCUUGGAAAAGAAGCUCCCAUUGUGUUACCCUAUUACCCAGCCUACCACUCAACUUUUUCAUGAAGUUCUGAAAUUGGUUGAACAGAAACAAUAUGUGAAACAUUAAUGAGAGUAUACAAUGUUAAUCAGGAGUCAACUUAAUACUUAUGAAAAGCACUUUUUGAUUUUUUUAAUAUCUGGCUAUUGCUGUGCCCUAUAAAAGAUUUUAUUUGAAUGUUCUGUCUAUACCUAAGAAAAGUCUUUAAAGUUUUUUUUGCUACAAAAAAGGAACUGUUUAAAUUCACUGAUAUAUAUAAAGUGAUGCAAAAAAUUAGUGUUUCUCUAAAAAAAGUUUCUAAAGACAUAAAAAACUAUGCAGGGAACAAGCCCAUACAGAGCUAAUGUAGAAAGUGCAACCUGAUGAGUUUUGUUGGUGUAAUAACGGUAGAUGGUGUGAAGCCAGUGAAAUAUCCAGAGAUAAAUUAUUGGGUGUACAAAGUAGAGUGAUCAUCAGAGAAAUGCUGAGCAAUAGGACAACACCCUCCUUCCCCACCUGUAAAAAUUCUAGUGACGUAAGUAUUCAUGGGAGAAUGAGCAAUAAACUAAUUUAAUCAAUGAAAACUUAACUUUGGUAUUACAUUGAGCAACUGAAUUUAGGCUUCUAAGAACUUAGAAACUAGGCCCUCCAUUCAACUUACCAUGACUUGAGGGGGAAUCAGAGAAAAAUCCACCUCCAAAAACAUUACAUAGCAUCUCAAAGCUUCCUUCAAAACAAAGAUAGAUAACCUAUCCCAUAGGAUGUUAGGAGAUUUAAAUGAAAAGGUAUUGGUAAAGCACAGCAUGGUAUGUGGAUUUUUUUUUUCCUUUUUUGUAGUCACCCAUCAAGGACUACAAGUCUUCUCUCUAAUCUCCGGACAUAGAGAGGAGCUAAGUGGUGCUUAUGAAUGUUCUGGGCCUUUAGGUGAGGGAUUAUUCCCAAGAGCUGGUCAGUCAGAAGAAUAUGAAAAGAUUCUUGGGACAGAGGCAAGCAACACUUCAACUGGAAAAUGGUGGUUGGCAGGCUGACUACUGGGGAAUGAUGGAAGCCACAAAAUGACAAUAAGAGGAUCAUCUCAGCUCUAAGCUCUGCCUCAGCCUCUGAGAUGUGCCCUGGCUCUGGGCUGGUAGCAGCGCAAGCUCUGGAAAGGGUGUGGCAUUUCUUUCCCAUGUGCCUUCAUGUCCAUGUUGCCUCUUCACUCCCACUGUUCUCUUUACCCUGAGAGCAUACUUUAUCUAAUCCCUGGGAGCAAAAACUCUGUCAAAAUGUAGAUGUAGGAGCUUUCCACACAGGGCUAAGUCAGUAGCUUUUUUUUUAAAUUAAUUAAUUUUGUUGUCAUUAAUCUACAAUUACAUGAAGAGUAUUAUGUUUACUAGGGUCCCGCCUUCACCAAAUGCCCCCCACAAACCCCAUUACAGUACUGUCCAUCAGUGUAGUAAGAUGCUGUAGAAUCACUACUUGUCUUCUCUGUGUUGCACAGCCCUCCCCAUGCCCCCCACCACAUUAUACAUGCUAAUCAUAAUGUCCCCUUUCUUUUUCCCCACCCUUAUCCCUCCCUUCCCUCCCUUUCUCCCAAGUCCCUUUCCCUUUGGUAACUGUUAGUCCAUUCUUAGGUUCUAUGAUUCUGCUGCUGUUUUGUUCCUUCAGUCUUUCUUUGUUCCUAUAGUCUUUGGGUUUGAGGUGAGUCUCUUGUAAGCAGCACAGAGAUGGGUCUUGCUUUUUUAUCCAUUCUAUUAUUCUGUGUCUUUUGAUUGGUGCAUUCAGUCCAUUUACAUUUAGGGUGAUUAUUGAAAGAUAUGUACUUAUUGCCAUUGCAGGCUUUAGAUUCGUGGUUGCCAUAGGUUCAAGGUUAGCUUCUUUAGUAUCUUACUGUCUAACUUAACUCACUUAUUGAGCUAUUUUAAACACUGUCUGGUCAUUCUUUAUUUUUCUCCCUUCUUAUUCCUCCUCCUCCUCUGUUCUUUAUAUGUUGGUUGUUUUAUUCUGUGCUCUUUUGUGCUUCCUUUAACUGCUUUUGUGGGUAGUUGAUUUUAUUUUUUGCCUUUAGUUACUAUUUGGUUGGUCUGCUUUCUUUGCUGUGAUUUUAUUUUCUCUGGUGACAUCUAUUUAGUCUUAGGAGUGCUCCCAUCUAGAGCAGUCC
Manis pentadactyla (Chinese pangolin) is the source of this 4693-nucleotide RNA transcript. It is a transcript of the gene named chromosome 10 C12orf56 homolog, with no coding region annotated. The transcript is spliced from 4 exons. NCBI's taxonomy places the organism in Eukaryota, Metazoa, Chordata, Mammalia, Pholidota, Manidae. The record is from RefSeq and is a predicted model, not a curated record.